This 6092-nucleotide long non-coding RNA is filed under the name Sorghum bicolor (sorghum). RNAcentral's name for it is "long non-coding RNA (SBIC_LNC002332)". Lineage: Eukaryota; Viridiplantae; Streptophyta; Magnoliopsida; Poales; Poaceae. The record is from RNAcentral.
AGAGAGAAGGGAAAGGCGAACACGCCAGGACCCUAAGCACGGCCGGGGAAGGCGAUCUCCGCGGCGGAUCGCGACGGCGCCAUGGCCGGCUCCUCGGAGCUCACGGCUAGGAUGCUAGAAGGCACCAAAUCGCGCGAAAAUAGGUCGGAAAGAGCGCGGGGAAGAAGAGGAGCUCACCAGCGCAAAGAAAACGGGCGAAAACGGCUUGGCUCGGCCGGCCCGCGAGCCGAGGAUCGCGGCGUCCCGGCGGCGACCUCCGAUGCGGUUGCUGCGCGUGCAAGACGAGAGUAGAGGUGGGGAAGAGCACGAAAUGGGAGCGGAGGGGAACGGCACUGGCUUGGGCGCAUCCAAAGAAGGCGAGGCGCGGGGAAGAACGUGGGGGAGCGGGGAGGGUGCGCGGCUUGCGGUUCCACAGAACCGAGAGAGAGAGGGAGGAGCGGUUGGAGAGGUGGGAGAAGGAGCUGACAAGCGGGCCCCGCUUGUCGGAGAGAGAGAGAAAGGGAAGGGGUAGCCGGCUGGGCCUUGGCCCAGGAAGAAAGAAAGGGGCACGAGGUUGGGCCCUGCAGGCCGAAAACGAGUGGGGGGAAAUAGGGGGAGAGAGGUUUUCUUUCUUUUUUUUUUCUUUUUUCUUCCCUUUUUCAAACCAAUUUUCAAAUACCUUUUCAAAUUGAAUUUUUUUAACAAAUUUGACAUUUUGUUUUUAAAACAAUCAUCACCAUAAAAAUGCACCAACAUGUAUGCAUCAAAAAUUUUCUAAACUUAUAUUAAAUUUUUAAUUCUCCAAAUUUAUUUAUUUUUCCUAUAUUUUGAUGCUCACAAAAUUGACUAUAAAAUCAAAUUCAUCUAUUUAAAAACAAACAAAUUUUAGGGUGUUACAAUUCUACCCCCUUUAAAAAUGAAUCUCGUCCUCGAGAUUCGAAAGAGGCUCAGAUCCUUUGAGAGAAAUUGGAAAAUAUCUUGAUAAUCCUUUCAACUUCACAACUUGCAUACCAAAUGUAAACACUUAUACCUCAAGGUCACAUCUCGUGAACAACAUUUCCAUUGAAUGACUAUUAUUCAUAGUUGACCGAAGUCCUUCUUGACUACUAAUCCUCUUAGCUUACAACUCCAAGAGACAUAGAAACUUAAUAUGCAUUUGCUUCAUCAGGUAGGAGUGGACCACCGUGAUACUCAAUUCUUUUCCCUGACGGUGCUGUUAAGAGCAUUUUGUACUGGGUACCAUGGAUCACUCCUUUGUGUGCACACAACCAUCCAUUACCAAGGACCAAGGGAAUACCAAGCGACUCUAGCACAAUGAGGUUUACAGUGAAGUUUUCCUUGUUUAUGACCAGAUUGAUAUUUGAGCACACCUGAUCUGCUUGUAUUUCUCCCACUGGGGUUUGAACUAGUAAAGGCUUCCUCGUUGGGCACUUCACCCACUCGAUCGUCUUUACCAAGUCAGCAGAAAUGAAAGAAUGCGAAGCACUCGGGUCAAACAGAGCAAAAACUUGCACUGAGUCUACUUGAAUAUAGCCACCAACCACUUUGGUAGCUCUAUGAAUGUUAUGCCUAUCCACGUUGCUCAGUCUCCCAUUAAUAUAGUCUCGUUGCACCUUACUUUCUUGAGUAGGCUUAUUACGGCUUUUCCUUUUUCUCUUUCGCCGUUGUGGAUUCUGAUUUGAUUCACUUCCAACUUGCUCUUGAGUAUCAUUAUUUUGAUAGCACUCAGUUUCAUCAUACUCAUAACAUCCUUCAAAGGCAGGAUCAUCAUUCUCUUCCCACGUAUCAGUAAGAGGCAUCAUAUAGGACUCCUGUUCCAUGGGAUACUACACUCCCUGUCAUCAAGUGACCAACGUCAAUGACACGAGAAGGAGAGAUGAUCAUAUUCAUAGAAUAUCUCACGAGACAACUCUCACUUCAAGAUAAGUUGAAAAUGCAUCAACCCAUGAUAUCAAGGUUCUACCCCCCUUAAGAAACGUCAACUAGGAGGCACAAGGAAGGUAGCUUGCACUUUUUCUUGACAAGUUAUUUUGCACUGAGACCUUUUGACAUCCCAAGGAACUUAUGUGCAAGGAAGAAACAAAUAUCCUGAUUUUCCUCGCGAUAUGAAAAUUACUAGUGCAGUAAAAUAGACAUAACUCUUGUUCUGUUAACCCAAUAGGGCCAUAGCUUAUACCGUUAGAAAGAUUAGAAAAUUUUCUACAACCUUUCUGUAGAACACUUUUCCAAAUUCUAUAGUUAUGUUUGUCCAAAACAGUAGGCAACCAAAACUGGUCCAGGUUCUUGACAGCACAUCUGUAUCGUCUUGUGAUUUUUUGUAACUUCCAAACCAUAAUAGCUAUGGGGGUGAUUCUUGCGGUCAGAGAAAGAUCUUGAAGUCCACUCUCAUCCAGAAUUUUAUCAUGAUUUUUAUUCAUCCAAGAUCAGAGACAUAAGCCGAUAAAGAUGAGAUACUCUAGAAAGGCACGAUAAGGUAACAAGAGAAAAACCAAAACCCAACUAUUUAUGUCAUUAAUCCUUAUGCCUUAGACAUAUAAACUAAAUAAAAUUGUGAAGAAACUCACAAGAUCUUUACACUCAUUACAAAGAUCCAAAGCAAACAUAAACAUAAAGACAAUUCAACCAAGCAGUAAAGUUUCACAAGGCACACAAACUUGACUUUCGCUGCUACCGUUUUUAUUACACAAGGGCACAAACUCCUAUAUCUUAAACUCAGUGUGGCUUCUUUCAUGAUACUAUUGUUGGUUCUUCUGUGGACAAGACUUUACAUAGUGUCCUUCCUGUCGGCAGUGAUAACACUUUUUCUUAGCUGGAUCCUUCGUGAUAUGAUUUUCCACUGAGGUGUUGCUCGGUGUGUUAUCAGUUUGCUGACUCUGAAGGUUUGUCUCUGGUUGGCUAGCUUUCUUCCUAACUUGGUUGAUCCUUCGAGGUUGAUACUCUUUAUAAGUGAUGGUCCAUCCAUCUAUGCAUACCUCAUGAGCAGUGGGGUUAGCUUGAGAAGUUUCUUCAUCUCCAAGGUUUGGAUUUUCAUGGCCAGAGUUCAAAGCUAAAUGUGACAACAUAGGAUUUGAAUGUUGUUCACUUCCCAAUGCUGGAUCUAGUGAUUUUGCCUUCCUCUUCUUAUCCUCAUUAGUCCCACAAUUUGGUUUUACCUUAGCUUCCUUUUUAAAUGACCUAUUCCGACGACAAGGAAGACCAUAAUGCCUACAACAAUGGCAUUGAUCAUGAUAUCCUGAUGUAUUACUACCAGCACCUCCAUGGGUUCUUAUAUUUUUCCAAGCUUCUGCUACUUGUCUCUUUACUGGUCCUGAGAUGCACUGUUGAGAGUUCCCAAUCUGAGUCAUUCCUUCCACUACUUGCUUUCGCAUGGCUAGAAGCUUCUCUUUGUCGAAUGCUUUUACGAGUGGCAUUUCUGAGUCCUUUUGUUCAUUCAUGCCAAAGGUCUCCUUGUUAUGAACCAUCUAAAUAGACAAGGUGGAUGGACUUAGAAUAGAGACAAAGUUUUAUAAUAGAAUAGGGUAGAGGUAAGCAUAAUUUUUAGCAAUUAUCAAGGUUAAGGUGAAAGCAAGAAGUAAGCAGAGAUAGAAGCAUCCUAAAACGUCCGGUUCUAACUAGGCUUGCGUCCUACAGUCAGCAUUUGCUUUGAUACCACUUUGUAACACCCGAUUUUAAGAACAAAAUCAGAUAUGCACCAUAUGUGAGUUUUAGAAGACAAGCCUCACAUAUAGCUACAAAUAAGGGGUAAUAUCAAAGGACAACGCAUAAGUUAUAUAGCGUAGAUAAUAAAUUAGAAACAACCUUGGGCAGCAAACACGGAAGAGAACUCCAAACUUCGAGUGUUAACCUCACUCUACAGGAUCCAACUGACUGGUUGAUCACAAGCCUAAAACUUCUCCUGAGGUGUGGGGGAGAUAGCAAGAGUGAGUCCAUGACGAACUCCGCAAGUAUAACAACUAGAUUGUAUAGAUCCCACAAUCUCAUGAUCAAUGUGACAUAAAUAAUAUAGAGCAUUAAACAAUAAUCAAUGAGUUUCUUAACACAAGAUUCAUCACCCUUAAUGUAAGAGUUCCCAAGGCCACUCGUGACCGUGAGCACGGCUAGUAUACCAGUUUUUUUUAACACUCUGCAGAGGUUGUACAUCUUUACCCAUGAGUCAUGAUUUACCCUUUCGCCUGAGGUGAUCAGCCUCGUAACCCACUACCAAGGUAGGUCGGCAGGGAUCACUAUGAAGUCUUUCAAAGGUUCGUCUAACAAGUUAGGGCCGCUUGGUUUCGUUAGUCAGUCCGUGUGAUUCUACCACUCGCAGGGAAUCCACGGUCUGCUAUCCCCUAUUUGCGCCACACGGGUAACCUCUAACAAGCUAGAAAAAUUACUCAUACUUGACUAAAGCCAGAGCCAUUAUAGCCCUCAUGGUUGCACUUUCAUCCCGGUUAUCACUUACGAAUAAAUCCUCAAGUUGCUAAAAAGUCAUUAUUAUCAUUUGUUGCUUUAUAUCGAUCUAGUCACAAGAUCAUGGUCAUAGAAUUAAAACCCAAAUGCUAUACUUGCCUUGAUCCAAUUGCUCCUGCUGGUCCUGCUGAUCUUACUUGCUUCCAAGGCUCUGAUCUUGAUUACCGAAGUAAAGCUCACCGACUAGACUCGAUCAUCGAUCAUCAACACACAACAAUCGGAGACAGACAUACACGAAGCAAACAAUCCUUUAAUUAGAACAGUACACCAACAGAUCAAAAAUGAAAUAAAAUAUUUAAAAACAGAACCUACGUUUCGCUACGAUCCCAUAGAUACGAAGAUCACGAAAAUCGGAGCUAAAACGACCAAAUUACGGAUUUACGGCGAUUUCCUAUAGCCAUUUAAUUAAUUAAACCUAACCCUGAAAUUAAAAAGUUGCAAACUACAGAAACAGUGGUACUAACAUGUAGAGAAUUUAAUUACGAAUCUAACGCAAUUUGAACGGGUCAAAUCGGAGCUAAAACGAAUAUUUUAUGGCCAAAACAUACUCAGUGGCAUUUUUGUAAAUAUAGAAAACGUAUUUUGAAAUAAAUCGGCAGACUUUACGUUUUCAAAAAUGGAAAGCGUAUUCCCUCAUAUGCGCUUUGGACUGCGGGUUAGAAAUUAGAAAACUAGGGGGUCUCUUUAGAAAAUUUGCCAGGCCGAAGGGGUAUGGGCAUUUCCUGGCCGUCAGAUUCAAGAUCAACGGGCGAGAUUAGAUGGGAGGGGAGAGAGAGAGGGGACUGGCGGCCGGAGUUGGGGAAGGUUGCGGCGGCAGCCAUUGCUGGCGGCGAGGAGCUCGCCGGAGUUUGGUGAUAAGGCGCUGUGGUGCUUGGUUUUCAAAAUCGAGAGCACCGGGAGAGAGAGAAGGGAAAGGCGAACACGCCAGGACCCUAAGCACGGCCGGGGAAGGCGAUCUCCGCGGCGGAUCGCGACGGCGCCAUGGCCGGCUCCUCGGAGCUCACGGCUAGGAUGCUAGAAGGCACCAAAUCGCGCGAAAAUAGGUCGGGAAGAGCGCGGGGAAGAAGAGGAGCUCACCAGCGCAAAGAAAACGGGCGAAAACGGCUUGGCUCGGCCGGCCCGCGAGCCGAGGAUCGCGGCGUCCCGGCGGCGACCUCCGAUGCGGUUGCUGCGCGUGCAAGACGAGAGUAGAGGUGGGGAAGAGCGCGAAAUGGGAGCGGAGGGGAACGGCACUGGCUUGGGCGCAUCCAAAGAAGGCGAGGCGCGGGGAAGAACGUGGGGGAGCGGGGAGGGUGCGCGGCUUGCGGUUCCACAGAACCGAGAGAGAGAGGGAGGAGCGGUUGGAGAGGUGGGAGAAGGAGCUGACAAGUGGGCCCCGCUUGUCGGAGAGAGAGAGAAAGGGAAGGGGUAGCCGGCUGGGCCUUGGCCCAGGAAGAAAGAAAGGGGCACGAGGUUGGGCCCUGCAGGCCGAAAACGAGUGGGGGGAAAUAGGGGGAGAGAGGUUUUCUUUCUUUUUUUUUCUUUUUUUUCCCUUUUUCAAACCAAUUUUCAAAUACCUUUUCAAAUUGAAUUUUUUUAACAAAUUUGACAUUUUGUUUUUAAAACAAUCAUCACCAUAAAAAUGCACCAACAUGUAUGCAUCAAAAAUUUUCUAAACUUAUAUA